RNAcentral lists this ribosomal RNA (250 nucleotides) under uncultured bacterium. Its description in RNAcentral is "partial 16S ribosomal RNA". It matches the Rfam family "Bacterial small subunit ribosomal RNA", at positions 524 to 773 of the family's 1533-position model. The record is from RNAcentral.
AACGUAGGAGGCAAGCGUUAUCCGGAGUUACUGGGCGUAAAGCGCGUGUAGGUGGAUCGGUAAGUUACUUAUAAAAGCUCCUGGCUAAACUAGGAGAGGUUGAGUGAUACUGCCAGUCUUGAAUAGAGGAGAGGUUGACGGAAUUCCGCGUGUAGUGGUGAAAUGCGUAGAGAUGCGGAAGAACACCAGUGGCGAAGGCGGUCAACUGGCCUCAUAUUGACACUCAGACGCGAAGGCAUGGGUAGCGAAC